GCCGAAAUAGCUCAGUUGGGAGGGCGUUAGACUGAAGAUCUAAAGGUCCCUGGUUCGAUCCAGGGUUUCGGCA
Molecule: transfer RNA, 73 nt
Filed under: Cordylochernes scorpioides
Lineage: Eukaryota; Metazoa; Arthropoda; Arachnida; Pseudoscorpiones; Chernetidae
Description: tRNA-Phe
Rfam family: tRNA
About the family: Transfer RNA (tRNA) molecules are approximately 80 nucleotides in length. Their secondary structure includes four short double-helical elements and three loops (D, anti-codon, and T loops).
Source: RNAcentral